Molecule: long non-coding RNA, 4575 nt
Organism: Meriones unguiculatus (Mongolian gerbil)
Lineage: Eukaryota; Metazoa; Chordata; Mammalia; Rodentia; Muridae
Exons: 3
Source: RefSeq, a predicted model, not a curated record
CUGGCCAGUAUGGGCAGUGCUGGGCAUUGAACCCAGGACUUUGUGCGUGAAAGGUAAGUGCUCUACCAACAGAGCUAUUAUCACUGGCCUCCAGCUUCUGCUGCUUCCUUCUGAGCCUAGAAUUUUAUACUCCUAGGAAUGUGAAAGGUGUCAAUUCCAGCGUAGCGCUUUGGUGUUGAAUAGUAUUCACUCCCAUUCCAUCUUACAGUCUGCUCAAGGUACUGACCCUAAUUUCAGGCUCUUUGUCACAUGAAAGGGCCUGACUAUUCCUAACAAGGACACAUGGUCUAUGAAAGUAGCUCUGACUCGUGAACUUCUGAGUAAGUCUUCUUUGCUGUGCUCUUGGGCUUUUACGUCUUGAUCUUAAAGUCUUAACUCUCACCUGUCUAGUUUUCCUGGAGGAGUCUGAUCAAUAAGACUCAAAUGAGACACCAAUCUACUGCUCUUCCCAAGUCCCUGCUCAAGCCGCAAGUGUGCACAGGACUCUGGAGAUGCCACUAAACACAAGGCCUCAUUUCACAGGUCUAGAUCGCGUCCACACGUAUGCAAGUCUGGGUGCCUGGUAAUGCUGCAGAAGCUCUGAGAAGCAAAGCAGAAGCUUCCAAAGCGCAGCGCGCAGUGUGACGUGCGACUCAUACUUGUUUUAGUCUCGGGGCCUAGAAUCCCUGGCGUGCAAUAUGAAAGGGAGAUAAUGCUCCUUCCUGGGUGUGAACUUCUCCUGGGCAGACAUGAACAAACAUACUCAUUCUAGAUAGGGCACUGGCAGAUCGGAGAAACCAUUCCACAUGAGCCUGUGUUCCUUGGACCAGUGAGUUUAUCAUAGUUUCUUCCAGGACCGUGGGUGACUCAAAGGCAGAUACCUCACUGAACAGCCUACCCAGCACGGCUGAUGACUCCUAAAAGCUGCAUCCCUGCAUUUCCCCACAGGACUUGCAAGUAACUCAGAUGGUCAGAAAGACUCUUCUCGCUAGUAAUUAUUACAGCUUGUACAACCUUGGGAGGAACUCCGGGCAUCUUGUACACUUCAGGAGCUUCCUACAUCUAAGAAGUUUCAUUUCCCUCCUGAGUCUCCAGGAAGGACUGUUUCACUCGAGAGGAAGCGGCUGUGUAACAGAGGGGAAGUGGAAGAUGCACAGACAUCCAUUUCCCACAAAUGAAUAUGGCAUCCUCCUUGGCCGGUAUCAAGCAUGGGAAGGAAACAGCCGUGGCCCCAGUUUUCUUGUGGCUGCACAUAUUAUCUGAAAACAAGUCUGGUUUCCAGUUCACCCCUCAGUAGAUAUGACUCUCACUCCCUCACAGUAAGUAAUUCCAAGUCUGGAGAGAGGCUGCAGCUGUUUGGAUGGAUAAAGACAACAUCAGGUCAUUGACUCUUGCUGAUGUUUCAUGAGUAAGAAUCAGGUGGUUCUGAGAAGGUAUCCCUGCUCUGUGCUUGGUUUCCCUCUGCAGGAUGGACAACACUGGACCCACAGGUAAUGGAAGAACAAGAUGGAGGCAGCAGGAAGUCCCGGUCACCUCUUCCAGAACAGGAAGCUGCUUGAGAAUCCUGGGUUAGAUGGAACCUUUUACUGUGUUCUUCGCCUGAGAUGUCAGAGUUAAUUCACUGACAGAGCAAUUGACAUGGCUGUUUCAUAUAGUCACCACCAUUAAGACAAGAACCCCGGUGCAGCACUAGCUGUGGCUGCUGAGGGGUUAGUGCUGGCAUGCCUGUACAUGCAAAUUCCAGCAUCUGGAGUUGUCCCCAGAGGUCUUCUUCAAGCAUGCACCAUUACCGUACUUUUCAUGGGGUGUACUCUGGGCUUCUGGGUUCUUCCAGAAAGGCCUCAUCUUUUGUUACUAAAGCUUAUGCCUCUCGAAGGUCUCUACCACACAAGUGUGUUUACAUCUCAGGUAAUUAUACCCCCCGUGCACUGAGAUCACAGGGGUGUGGAAUGCCGAUGGACACUGGAAGCUUCCUUUGUGAGGCAGCCUGCCAUGCCACAGACUGAAGGUUAAAUCAUUCUGAACACGGCUUCCAGAACCUCUAUUCCAACAACCUAAAGGAAACGGAGAUUCUAGGAUCAGCUGACAUCAAAAGGUCUACGUCCUUCCCCAGCACACAUCCUCACCUUUCAGGGCUGUGUUGAGUUUAUGAUGAAUUUUUUCACUCCUACCAUGGGUAUCAUGACUGGCACAAGCAUUGUUGGGGAGCCGGGGUGAGGGGUGAAUAGUGUUUUUCUCUAAAAGGACAUCACUUCAGGGAAGGAGCUAUGACACUCUCCCUCUCCCAAAGCAAUCUGUCUUCUUCUUUAGCCAGUGACUCUCCUGGGGAUUGUCUCUCUGGUCCCCAUGUCCUUGUCUCAGGCCCUUCCUUCAUUUGGUGGCAUUCAAAACUCUGCCACCGAAAGGCAUCAGUGACUGUAUCCCCCGAAGAAUCUCAGCACCAGACCCUCUAGCUCAGCGUUUCUCACCCUGUGGGUUGCUGCUCCUUUGGGGAUUGAAUGAGCCUUUCACAGGGGUCACAUAUCAGAUAUCCUGCUUAUCAGAUAUUUACAUUGUGAUUCAUGACAGCAGCAGAAUUGCAGUUAUGAAGUAGCGAUGGAAUAAUUUUAUGGUUAGGGGUCACCACAGCAUGGGGAACUGUAUUAAAGGAUCGCAGGAUUAGAAAGGCUGAGAACCAUUGUUCUGGCUCUUCCUAAUGUCACUCUUACCAAAUAGGACCAGUGGUCCCAGGAUAGCUGAGCCUCCCUCAUCCCACUGAUGUAGUGUCCACCACAUGCACAUGCCAUGUUGCUUCUGGGCCCACGGUCCCUAUAGCUGUUGUUGGCACGUGUGUGGGCUUGCUUCUCUUCUCCUGCAGCCUCUAAUUAUCAUGACAGUUAUUGAUAUCAAUGCUGGCCACCGUGCGGCUGUAUUGGAGGUGGGAAAGCUAGGGGCACAGCAUGAGGCAAGGAGGUAGAGUGGAGAAAUUCAGGUUCCUGAAGGCCCUAGCUUCUGGACCAUUCUGGAAGAAAUAGAGAAAUAGAGGGCUUUUGUGAAACUGGUGCAUCUCCUCACAGCGGGUGCUGGUGUGUGAGGAUGGCUGAGGUCUGUCGGGAUGCUCGGAAGGUUGUGUUUGUUUGUUUGUUCAUUUGUUUAUAAUGGAUUUCUAGACCAGACUAGCCUUGACCUCCCUAUGUAGCUGAAGAUGAUAUUGAAAUCCCAAUCCCCCGCCUCUACCUCCUGAAUGCUGGAAUUACAAGCGUGCACCAGCUGGUUUAUGUGUUCCUGGGGAUCGAAACCAGGGCUUCAGGCUUCCUAAGAAACAUUGUACCAAAGGAGCUACAGCCUCAGUCCCUGAGCUCUGUUUGAAGAGUCUUACUCUCAGGUGUAGGAGGGAGCUGUGGCCCUUUGAAGUCAGUUCUUUCCCUGAGUGUAGCAGCUACCUCUCCCUGUGCAGCCCCCAGGAUGGUGGUGGGUUUCCUCCAAUGCACUGGAGGAAAAGAUGUCCUGUGGGACUUGGACACACUUUGGGGGCGCAUCAUUGCCCUGUAGGCAUGAAACUAGCACAGGGUAUGGCACUCUAUGCCAGCUGUAGCCUUCGAUUCCUGCAGACAUUGAUCAGAAGUCAGGGGGCUAAUAGCCAUGUUCCCUGGAAGGUGCUGUUGAUUUCAAAAUGGAACCCUGGGGAGGCAGGGCUGGGGAUGCCGACAGUCUCCGCCCCGCCUGAGCCAGCUCUGUGUUACAGAGCAUCACAGCUUCAGCAUCAUGGAGGUGACAGGAAGGUCCCCUGGACAGAAUAAAUACUACAUGGUGGAACCAACUCACAACCAGCUUGUCCAGAGUAAAGCUGUCCCUGUGUGAGUAGAAUCCAGCAGUUUCUGUGUUGAUGCCUAGGGCUACUAGUCUACUUGGGCUGCUAUCACAAAAAUGCCAUGGGCUAAAGUGACACCCCCUCCCUUUACUUCCUUGAAGGCUGGUAAGUCCCCAAAUUUCUGUAUGGUGAGGCCUUUCUCUCUGGCUUCUUACUGUGGCUCAUGUGAAGAAAGAGGGAGCUUUGGCCUCCUUUCCUUUUUUUUUUUUUUUUUUUAUGGAGAUCCUAGGACCACCAUGGAGAUCCCCUUCCAUGACAUUAUCUAAAUCUAAUCUCAUCCUAUAGGACCCACCUCUGGACGUCAUCACAUCGUAGCUUAGAGCUUCAACAUGUGAUGGUGUGAUAGACACACCCAGUCCUUAUAUUACUCCGUCUGUACAAUCUACUGUUUGAGCUUCCUAGGUGUGUCCACAGAGCGCAUCAGAGGACCUGGAGACUCCACUUAAAGCUGUGGGCUCUGAUUCCUGCCGCACACAUUUGUCUGCUGGGGAAGGACUCUUCCUCUACAUGGGUCUUUCCAGAUGGUUUCUUUGUCCAUCACAUGGAAUCAUAGUGGAUCACAGGAGAGGAAACAGAACAACAAAGCACACAAUGACCACCAGAGGCCAUGGAGGAAUAAGAACAGUUUGCCGCUCAGGAUGCGAGGCUAAGCACUGCACUCAGGGUCAGCCGCUUUGGACCCAGAGAAGAGCAUGUCUGAUUGCAUGCGGGUUGAUGCCCCAGGUCCCGCCUCUGAGAAAAAGGUA